Molecule: ribosomal RNA, 142 nt
Filed under: Shigella flexneri
Lineage: Bacteria; Pseudomonadati; Pseudomonadota; Gammaproteobacteria; Enterobacterales; Enterobacteriaceae
Description: partial 16S ribosomal RNA
Rfam family: Bacterial small subunit ribosomal RNA
Source: RNAcentral
AAAUUGAAGAGUUUGAUCAUGGCUCAGAUUGAACGCUGGCGGCAGGCCUAACACAUGCAAGUCGAACGGUAACAGGAAGCAGCUUGCUGUUUCGCUGACGAGUGGCGGACGGGUGAGUGAUGUCUGGGAAACUGCCUGAUGG